This 686-nucleotide long non-coding RNA is filed under the name Salmo salar (Atlantic salmon). Its description in RNAcentral is "lncRNA (ENSSSAG00000087516.1)". Lineage: Eukaryota; Metazoa; Chordata; Actinopteri; Salmoniformes; Salmonidae. The record is from RNAcentral.
GGGUCUUACAGGUUCUAUGGCUGGGUGGAGGGUCCUACAGGUCCUAUGGCUGGGUGGAGGGUCCUACAGGUCCUAUGGCUGGGUGGAGGGUCCUACAGGUCCUAUGGCUGGGUGGAGGGUCUUACAGGUCCUAUGGCUGGGUGGAGGGUCCUACAGGUUCUAUGGCUGGGUGGAGGGUCCUACAGGUCCUAUGGCUGGGUGAAGGGUCUUACAGGCCCUAUGGCUGGGUGGAGGGUCUUACAGGUCCUAUGGCUGGGUGGAGGUUCUUACAGGCCCUAUGGCUGGGUGGAGGGUUUUACAGGUCCUAUGGCUGGGUGGAGGGUUUUACAGGUCCUAUGGCUGGGUGGAGGUUCUUACAGGCCCUAUGGCUGGGUGGAGGUUCUUACAGGCCCUAUGGCUGGGUGGAGGGUCCUAUAGGCCCCAUGUGAGGGCCAUGCUUUUCCAUUCCUCUUCAAAACUCUGGCACCACAAAUUGGACAUUGGACUGGUAGUGUUCUGGAGCGGAGCUGGGAAGUGAGUCUGGAGAGAGAGUAAAAAAGUGAGAUGGAGAAGUUGAGGGAGAUCAAUAUCUAGAAAUAAAGAGAGGGAGAGAAAAUGAAUGAACAAACGAACUAGGGAGAGAACAACUAAAUGAGAGAAGAGAAAAGGAGUACCUCUCCAAGGUUCUGGAAAAUGUGAGUGCGGCG